CAGUGGUAACAUCAGGGUAACAUCUCAUUUGAAUACCGGUUGUACGAUGUUGCAGGUUACGUUAGGAAAUGUGCUUAGGCAUUUAUAUCCUAUCCACAGAAAUUAACUUGCUCAUUGAAAAACGAACUUCCUUAUCUUUAAUUGGCAUAUACUGUACUAGGCCUAUUUCUUUAUCGUGGCUUGUUUAGUGUACAUGCAUAGGUACUGUAUGUAAGAUCUUUGCUGCAAUUCCCCAGGUUGGUGCUAACGUUAAUUUCACAGUGCAAGCAGACUUCUCCCCCGUUUAUGUUUGUAUAUUUCCGUUUUGCUUCAAAUGCAAAAAUGUAUUGCAGCACCUAUCGGCGGCCUAUUCUUUCCAAGUAUGAACGACGUCAGUUGUCACUGUACCGAGAAAGCCACCGCCAGCGGAACUGAACACCAGCAACGUCAAAAGAACCCACAUCCAGUUGUCCUUCCGACAUACUCCUCCCGAACUCUUCAUCAUCCCUCGUUUCUGUCACUGUACAUGGCUGUGGGGCCUACGCAGUGGAACUUGCAAGUGCCGGGCUACAGGGGGAUUGCUUUGCCAGCCAUGAUUCCCUCUGAUUUUUUUUACACUGACCCCACUCUACCCCCAGGGAGUAGAGUAUCUAAUGGGGUGACUCAACUGGAGGCCUUUGAGUGUUGUCAGUUGAACACUCCUCCUCCAGUCAUGUCCAUUAUUGCAGAUUCGCCCUCUAGAUUAGACCCCUUCAGAGCCAGACCCUACCCCACCCGGGAUCUUGGCUCCCAGAUGUGGACAUGGGACAAUCUGUCAACUUUCAGAUCCAGAACUGCACAGGGACAAAUUUUGGAGGUCAUCCAAAUAUCUGCAGAGGAAGAUGAAGCUAUUACCAGCCUUCUGAAGCUGCACUAUCAGAGCCAGCUAGAGACUGCCUCCAGUGACCCUUGGGGAAACAUGACCGCUCAAGAUCUUACAGUAGAUGAUCAUCAGUCCCUAUGACAGCCAGCUUCAACUCAGCCACCUCUUUCUGAUCCAGGGCCUUCCUCAAACAGUGUAGAAGUUUUGAUGCCAUCACUCCAUCUCAGAGUGUCAGCCUAUGCAGGGGUCUGAUGUAGUGACAGAAACUUCCCGGGUCCUGUUCAGUGUGGAAAAUUUUGUGACUGACCAUUUUGGUAAGGAGCCACUGAGUCUGAGCCAAGGAGCUGUAUGAAACCAAUAAACUGAGAAACUACGCUGCUUCUUACCUGCAGAAUAGGAAGUACUGACCAUGAAUGAUGGGAAACUUGAAUAAAGGCCUGUGAUGAAAAUAAUUUUUGAGUCUUCUGAGGAAGACCUGUAGCUAUUGUGAGAUGACAGACAGCAGAGUGUAGAAAUGUCCUGGGAGUGAGACUGGGGAACAUUGGAGCUCACGGGGGUCCUUGAACUGUGUGCAAGGAAUAGCAUGUUUUUGGCAGUGGGACAUGGGGAACAUUGAGGUUGGGGGAUUUGGUGUCUGUGGAAGGGGCUAAACCCCCUUGCUCAGGUGCCAAAACAAGCACAAAUAGCACAUUCCAGCUGUGUAUUAUUUUCCAUUGUUUCUUGUGUAUAUUGUCACUUUUGGAAGCUGACUUCAUAGUUCUUUUAACUGCUUCCUUUCCUGUUGGUUUAAAAAUAUGUACCUAGCCACGUGAUUGACAUUAAUCAAUCUGUGUUUAAUGUUUGGGUUCAGUUUUCACUUUGUAAAAUAGAAAUAAUGUUCAUGGCACUGAUGCAAGAAUUCUGUUUUUGCUUGAAUUAAUAAAGCGUAUUUAUGGUUAUUAUUUGAUGCUUCUGUGGCAGACAUUUCAGAUACGCUUUGCCAAGGAAAAAAAUACAAAAAUGGAUAAUGUGAAAAUGCUAUGAAAUUGUUUAUUAAUAAGUACACAAUUAAUCUCAAUGAAAGGAAAACCAUUCACAUACCCAAAUGUUCAUGGGUGGGUACACAUCCAUCCACACAGAAUAUCAACAUCAGGGAGUGCUGUAUCACCAUAUAGCCCUAUACGACUGAAACGGACUGGUUGUCCAGGACUGGUUUUAAAACUAAAUUAUCUAUAUACAAA
Molecule: long non-coding RNA, 2061 nt
Organism: Anguilla rostrata (American eel)
Lineage: Eukaryota; Metazoa; Chordata; Actinopteri; Anguilliformes; Anguillidae
Exons: 4
Source: RefSeq, a predicted model, not a curated record